GCCUGGGUGGCUCAGUCAGCUGAGUGUCUGACUUCAGCUCAGGUCAUGAUCUCAUGAUUCGUGGGUUCAAGCCCCACAUCGGGCU
Molecule: transfer RNA, 85 nt
Organism: Felis catus (domestic cat)
Lineage: Eukaryota; Metazoa; Chordata; Mammalia; Carnivora; Felidae
Rfam family: tRNA
About the family: Transfer RNA (tRNA) molecules are approximately 80 nucleotides in length.
Source: Rfam